ACACACACAAGGCACCUUGAUCCAAAACACGCCAGUGUAGUGCUUGCUACAAAGAAAUUGGCGGUGCCUUCAAAACCUGCAAAUACUGUGAAGUAAAGAUUAUACAAAAGAAAAACUUGAAAGCCCCAAAAGUCAAAUUUGAUGAUCAGUGGGCAGCCAAAUAAAAAAAACAUGCCAAUUCUAACAAAAUUAUGAACUGUGUGGACUUGCUUCUUCAUAAGAUGGAAUUACUGGGCUUCUCUCCAAUGCUCUUUAUUACAACGCAGAGAGGCCAGCAUCGCUCCACAAAAAACGUCAACGUUCAGAGGCAUCAUUCAGUACCGGUCAUGCAGAGACUUUAUGAGGCUGUUGUAAGAGGCAUUUAUGUGUACACAUGCAUUUACCAAUUGAAAAACUUUUUGUAUUAUAAUGGUCUUUUUUCACAGAUUGUGAUGAUGCAUUUCCACAGUUAUUAACAUGGUAAAUCUAACAAAGUUUAUGUUUAUAUAUAUAUGGGCUGGGCAUAGAUCAAUUUAGAUUUGAGUAUUUAGGUAUUGAAUGUGAUGCUGGAGAUUGUAUAAUUAUUUUUCACUUGUAUAAAGUGUUUUAUCAUUCACAUUUUUGUGUUGAAAUAAAUUAGCCUAUCCCCUGUAUGUCACUGAUGCACUACUUCAAAGAUUUGAGGACAAGAACAUACACCUGCGAGUAGUCUUAGACAUUGCCUGUGUUAUUGCCUCACAUUUGCAGAUCAAGUACAGAACCAGAUGGCUUGAUGGGUUUGGGCUCACAGACGGGGAAGGAAUGGAAAGGCUGUGGUCUUUCCUCCAAAGAUUUGCCAGAGUCACAAAGGAGAUGACUCCAUCUCAUCGCCUUGACCUACUGACUGAUGCCCUUUUGCAUUAUGGACGGAGGAAAUCAACUGACCUAGAGGUGCAGCUCCUGCAAAGAGUAGACAAAGCAGAGAAAAUAUUGAUUCUUGCUCAAGAAGAUAUCUCAUGUCAUCAGAGAGGCAUCAGUGUUGAUUUCUGAAGGAGACAUGGAGAGAUGGAAAAAGCUAGCCCAACAGAAACCAAUAAACACUGUCUGUAGAUGGAAAAGGGACUACAUCAUCAGGCUGAUUCAGUUCUACAAGUUCAAAUAUUAGAAUUGAGGACUCUGCUGAACAUUGAGAAAAACUACCGUAUUGGGAGAAGAUGGCAAGAGUCUGAUUCAAACUUCCAGUCUACCCUUAAAGAUGUGGACCGUGAGCUCAGAGUCCAACUGCAAGGCUAGAACUGAAUCAAGGGAGAGAGCAGUCGUCCUCCACCUGAGAAGAAUAUAUCCAGCUUUGCUUCAGAUGGGCAGGGCAUUGCCAUUAGACUCUCCAAGCAGGUAGCCAGCUCCAACAAUAGACUGAGACAGCAUUCAAUAGUCACCGCAGAUGAGCUUCUUACCUGCGACAAUUGAUUUUCAGGAAUCAUGUGAUCCCUCUUGGCAUGUUUACUUCUGCUUUAAUGACACUCAUAAAUAAGAUACAGAAAAGAAGGAGGCAGGAGAAGAUUGACAGUUUUCAAGAGAAAUCCUGAGAUGAGGUUGCUGGAGGCAUCAGUUUAAAGAGAGAGAGAGAGAGAGAGAGGCACAGAAAUUUUCACAGGCCUUCAACUGAAACAGAUAAUCACUGGAGUCCAUUCCCGACUCCCGAGCGACCACAUUCAACAUAACAAGUGCACAUUUUUUGUUUGGAAAAAAGCUCACAGAAACUAAAACCAGAUGUAUGCAGCUUUGCCAGGCGUGCAGCACCAGCGUAAACCAGCUAAGACCACUCGUCUAAGCUUUCAGUCUGGUAAAGCUGGUUUUUCAAUCUGAACAGCUAAAAGUGGACUCUAAAAACCUCUCUAAAACCAGCCUGCUACACCAGCUAAAACCAAACUGGGAGACCAGAUCAACUAGGUUAGGUCCACGUGCUCGUCUCCACUCAAACCUUUGCAGAGAAAUGAAACAGUGACUGCAUGUUUGAUCUACAGUCGCCACCUAGUGGUGAUAAAAAUGAAUAGCAUUAACAGAAAGUAUGACUUCAACAUGUUUUUGGUGGAAUGGUACAGUGCUUUAUAUAUAUUAAUGGUAUAUGGUACAGUCUACUUUAGCCUAAAGGUAAAUUUAACAGUGAAUGAAGAUAAUUUUUAAACUGUGUUUAGAUGUUGUUCAAUAAAGUUCAGAGUAUCAGUGAAGCAAGUUUGAGAGAUUUCUACAUAAAAUCUAUAAUGUUAAAAAUAUAAUCUUGAUAUCUUUAAUAAGGUAACAUUUUUAAAUAAGGUCUAUCUCUAUUUACAGUUGUUUUAUGCCACAUUUAACCUCCUAAGACCUGGAUGUCACAUAUGUGGACAUCAAUGUUUUUGUUGUUUGCACCAUAAUACUUAAUUCUGUGUAACUGGAACCUGUUAUACACAAACAUGGACAAAUACACUGCUUCAUGUUCUAAGAAAAAUAUUUGGUUAUUAUAUUUAUUGGUUCCCCAAAAUAGCUGGUAAAAAUCUGAAAAAAAGUCAAACCAAAGCUCGGGUUCAGGAGGUUAAUUUAGGCUUCAUGUUAUCUGACCGAUGAUAGGAGAUUGUUGCAUAAAAUUGGUUUGGGCAGAAAAAAUAAUUUUGGUAGUGGAAACAUUUUUUAGAUCUUUUCCUCUCAUCUCAUAUUUUGUCCACCACCAUGACCCUUUAGUCUCUGUGGUGGUUCUUCAUCAGUCAACAUGUCAAAUGUCCUUUAAUGUGUUUGGGAAUUAAUAUUAAGUAGUGUUUAGUGAAUUUAACCCUGCAGUAAACCCAGCAAUAUGUAACUCUGUUGAUGCUUUAACUGCUGUAAGGGAUGAGGGAUUAUUAGCUAACUUAAUGUCUGUUUUUGCCAGUGUUUAACUAUUUGAUAUGUGUGAAGGAUUUUGAGCAAUGAAAAACCUUUCGUAUGUAUCAUGCAUUAAAAUAUAUGACCUUUGAUGCUUUUUGAUGAUUUAAAUAAAAUCUCCAUACAAUCUGA
Misgurnus anguillicaudatus (oriental weatherfish) is the source of this 2982-nucleotide non-coding RNA. The record is from RefSeq and is a predicted model, not a curated record. Lineage: Eukaryota; Metazoa; Chordata; Actinopteri; Cypriniformes; Cobitidae.